UUUCGGGGUCAGUAGGUUGGUCGUGCCACCGGUACGUACUGGUCUCACUGAUUCCUCUUCCUGAUGAGCUGUAAUGCCAUUAAUUUGGUGUUGCAGGGAAUCUGGACUGUUACUUUGAAAAAUUAGAGUGUUUAAAGCAGGCUAACGCUUGAAUACAUUAGCAUGGAAUAAUGAAAUAGGACGUUCGAUCCUAUUUUAGUUGGUUUCUAGGGAUUGACGUAAUGAUUAAUAGGGAUAGUUGGGGGGCAUUAGUAUUCAAUUGUCAGAGGUGAAAUUCUUGGAUUUAUUGAAGACUAACUACUGCGAAAGCAUUUGCCAAGGAUGUUUUCAUUAAUCAAGAACGAAAGUUAGGGGAUCGAAGACGAUCAGAUACCGUCGUAGUCUUAACCAUAAACUAUGCCGACUAGGGAUCGGAUGAUGUUAAUUUUUUUAAUGACUCAUUCGGCGCCUUACG
Molecule: ribosomal RNA, 454 nt
Filed under: uncultured Glomus
Lineage: Eukaryota; Fungi; Glomeromycota; Glomeromycetes; Glomerales; Glomeraceae
Description: SSU rRNA
Rfam family: Eukaryotic small subunit ribosomal RNA
Source: RNAcentral